Benincasa hispida (wax gourd) is the source of this 3863-nucleotide RNA transcript. It is a transcript of the gene named Pre-mRNA-splicing factor 3, with no coding region annotated. Lineage: Eukaryota; Viridiplantae; Streptophyta; Magnoliopsida; Cucurbitales; Cucurbitaceae. The record is from RefSeq and is a predicted model, not a curated record.
CAAUGGCGUUGCCCAUCCGGCCCGGACGAGCUCUCUCACUCAUCAGGAGUAGAUAGAGCGAAACCCUAGAGAGAGGAAGAGGAAGAAGAAGAAGAAGAAGAAGAAGAAGGAGAAGGACGUUCAGGUUCAGAGGCUGUGGAGCCCUGGAAAUGGAUAGGCUUUCCGAGAAGGAGAAAUCAAGCAAGCGUUCUCGAGAAGAACGCGAUCGAGACCACAAGCAUCGAAGUCGAGAUACCGAGGAAAAGCAUUUCUCCAAGGAUGAAAAGCAUCGUGAAUCCGAUCACCACCAUCGCCGGCGGCACCAUCGAUCGGACCGUGAUUCGAAGCGUGAGCGUUCGCAUGAGCCGCGCGAACACAAACAUCGGCGUGAUAGGUCUCCCGAUGAGCGCGGAAGCUCCCAAGACCGCGAUUUUAAGCGGGAAAGGUCUCAUGAUCUUAGGGAGGAGAGAGAAAGAAGUAGAGAUAGGGAUUCGUCUAAGCGAGAGCGGUCGAAUGAGCCGAGAGGGUUGAGAGCGGGCAGCGAAGAGCGGGGCAAGCUGCGCGAGGUGAGGCGCGAGCAAUCAGAAGAUGAGCGUGAACGGGAAGGAUCGUUGGAGCCAAUUCACAAUUCUGUAGGUUCAAACAAGAGGAAGAAGAGGGGAGGAAGUGAGGACAGGUUUGAUGGCGGUGAGAAGAGGGCUAGGGCUUCGGAAGGUGGAAAUGAAGUGAAUGGAGCUGAGAUGGAUGAGAAAAAGGAGCGGAGGAGAUUUGCUGACAGUGAGAAAGAUGAGGAAGCAAAUUUGAGUGGUAGGGGAAGGAGGGAGAGGAAACGAUUCGAGGAUCGGGUAAAGGAAGAAGAUAAUGGUGGAAAUGUUGAUGAGAGGCAUGCGAAAGUGAAUGAAUUAAAGUCCAAGGGGGACGUCGGGGAUGUGAAAGUUCAGUUUGGAGGCACCACUGAUGAAAAAGGGUCAUUGGGGAAUGGAUCUAUGGUGGAACCUACUGAUAUGUCAUCAACAAGUGUGCCACAGAAUUUGAUACACCCUAGUCAUUCCCUUCCUAUCAAGGUAUCUUCAAUUUCUACCACAAAUGAAAAUAAGGGAGUUAGUAUUACCAGAUCUCAUGAGGUUCAUGGAAAAUCUAGUACAGAUGGGACUUCUGCAACUGCUGGGAAAAGUGGAAAUCUCUCUCUUGAUGCUUUAGCAAAAGCUAAGAAAGCUUUACAGAUGCAGAAAGAAUUGGCUGAGAAGUUGAAGAAAAUUCCCCUGAUGAAGAAGGUUGGGGGUUCAAGUUCUGCAAGUAGCUCAGUUAUGAAAUUGGAGGAGAAACCUAAACCACCAGCUGGUGUAUUGGGGCAAUUGCCAACUACAAAUGAUGCUACGAGUCUUUCGACUGGGGUAGCAUCAAGUUCAUCGACAUUACCUUCUGCUGCCAAUGCACUUGAUGGUGGGAUUAAUGUUCCAGCUGGCCUUACCUCUAUACCCCAUUUUGAAGCUGUCAAACGUGCACAAGAGCUCGCUGCCAGGAUGGGAUUUCGCCAGGAUCCAGAGUUUGCUCCUCUCAUAAAUUUGUUUCCAGGGAACAUAGCAACAGACGUUGCUGUUCCACAGAAGCCAACCAAGGCCCCUGUUCUUCGUCUUGAUGCACUUGGCAGGGAAAUUGACGAACAAGGAAAUGUGGUCAAUAUAACCAAACCCAGCAACCUUAGCACUCUUAAGGUUAAUAUCAACAAGCAAAAAAAGGAUGCAUUUCAGAUUCUUAAACCUGAACUUGAUGUGGAUCCAGAUUCAAACCCUCAUUUUGAUGAGAGAAUGGGUAUAAAUAAAACUAAACUGCUGAGGCCAAAGAGAAUGAGUUUCCAGUUUGUUGAGGAAGGGAAAUGGUCUAAGGAGGCUGAAACCAUAAAAUUGAAGAGUAAAUUUGGAGAGGCACAAGCCAAAGAACGAAAAGAAAAACAGGCACAAUUGGCCAAGGCAAAGGCUGCACCUGAUAUAAAUCCGAAUCUGAUCGAGGUAUCAGAGAGAGUGAUGAAGGAAAAAACAAAAGAACCAAUUCCUGAAAUUGAGUGGUGGGAUGUCCCGCUUUUGCAUUCCGGCACGUACGAGGAUGUGGGAGAUGGUUUUGUGGCUGAUGACAAAUUAAGGAAGGAUAAGAUUACCAUUUAUGUGGAGCAUCCUCGUCCUAUUGAACCUCCUGCAGAGCCAGCUCCCCCGCCUCCUCAACCCCUAAAGCUAACAAAGAAGGAGCAGAAAAAACUCCGUACACAGCGUCGUCUAGCAAAGGAGAAAGAUAGACAGGAGAUGAUCAGACAAGGACUGAUAGAACCACCUAAACCAAAAGUUAAAAUGAGCAAUUUAAUGAAAGUUCUUGGCUCAGAAGCAACCCAAGAUCCUACUAAACUUGAGAAAGAGAUUCGUGCUGCAGCUGCUGAGAGGGAACAAGCUCACAUAGAUAGAAAUAUUGCACGAAAACUUACCCCUGCAGAGCGCCGCGAGAAGAAAGAACGUAAACUUUUUGACGAUUCAAAUUCACUUGAGACAUUUGUGUCUGUUUACAAGAUCAACGAUUUAUCACACCCACAGGCCCGGUUUAAAGUCGAUGUUAAUGCUAGAGAGAACCGUUUGACUGGAUGUGCUGUGAUAUGUGAUGGCAUCAGUGUUCUGGUCGUUGAAGGGGGAAGCAAGUCCAUCAAGAGGUAUGGCAAGCUUAUGCUCAGGCGUAUAAAUUGGGCCGCUUCUGUGAAAGAGGAGGAAGAGGAGGAAAAUGAUGACAGGCCCGUUAACAAAUGUUCAUUGGUAUGGCAAGGAAGUGUUGCCAAAUCUAGCUUCAAUAGAUUCUCUAUCCAGGAAUGCAUGACUGAGGCAGCUGCUCGAAAGAUUUUUGCCGAUGCCGGUGUUGGUCAUUAUUGGGAUUUUGCUGUUAACUAUUCCGACGAUCAAAUAUAAUCUAACUUCUGCACUGGUAGUUGAUGCAAUUCGCUGAUGAUUUGCUUCAGUGUCUUGUAUGUUUGAGAAGCAGAAAUGCAGAAACAUUCGAAGCGAAUAUAUCAUCACAGUAUUGCUAGUCUUACCUGUUUCUAUUCAUAGGUUAGGUGGGAAGAUUUCAUUAUGUUCCGACUCACCUAUCGGAUGAGUUCUCGGGAAUUUUGCGGAUUUCUUGAAUCACAACUGACUUCUGUAUGAGAAAUACGUUGUAAUCGAUGGUGAUCAGUUGGGGUAGCGAGCAGAACUUUGAAAUCUUAUCGGUGAAGACUGUCUCGAGAAACGGGUAUUAUGUCCAGUAUUUGUCUUAUAGUCUUCAUUUCUUGUACUUCUAUAGAAUCUAGAGUUGUGACUCUUUUCUCCACCCUUCAUAACUGAGGAAUGAUUGACAAUCCAUUCCAUUGGGUUAGUUAGAUGAAGGGGGGGUGGCUAUAAAUAAUUUUCUUCUCAAACAAAAAGGUUCGUAGGAGAUUUGAAUCCAUGGCGAAAAAGCUCUGACCAAUUGAAUUUCAUCAGUUGAGUUAUGAUUAAGGUUUUUUUUCAACGAAAAAAGUUUCAUGUGUGUUUGAUGAAGAACAAGAUGAAGGGGAGAGGAGCGAGAGCGGGGAGCGGGGAGUGGGAGCAAGAAAAUGAGAAGAAUCUGAAAUGAAAAGAAAAUUUGAAGAAAAAUAUUGCAGUUGUCUUAUGAGGAUCAAUACGAAGGAGCGGGAGCUAAGAGUGAGAAGCUAGAAAUAGGCCUGAGGUCAAAUGGAUACUUUUACAUGUGGAUGACGUAAGAUUAAAUAGGCACCUUCACAUAUGGAUGACAUUAGUAGAAGGCUAAAUUUUGGACUUUUUAAAAUGAGACCAAAUUUCGAGUUGAUCUCCUAAAUGAGGGUCAUCAAAUACAAAUUCCUCAUUUUAGUU